GACGAACGCUGGCGGCGUGCCUAAUACAUGCAAGUCGAACGCAUUUUCUUUCACCGUAGCUUGCUACACCGAAAGAAAAUGAGUGGCGAACGGGUGAGUAACACGUUGGUAACCUGCCCAUCAGCGGGGGAUAACACUUGGAAACAGGUGCUAAUACCGCAUAAUUCCAUUUACUGCAUGGUAGAUGGAUGAAAGGCGCUUUUGCGUCACUGAUGGAUGGACCCGCGGUGCAUUAGCUAGUUGGUGGGGUAACGGCCUACCAAGGCUGCGAUGCAUAGCCGACCUGAGAGGGUGAUCGGCCACACUGGGACUGAGACACGGCCCAGACUCCUACGGGAGGCAGCAGUAGGGAAUCUUCGGCAAUAGACGCAAGUCUGACCGAGCAACGCCGCGUGAGUGAAGAAGGUUUUCGGAUCGUAAAACUCUGUUGUUAGAAAAGAACAAGGAUGAGAGUGGAAAGUUCAUCCCUUGACGGUAUCUAACCAGAAAGCCACGGCUAACUACGUG
Molecule: ribosomal RNA, 507 nt
Filed under: uncultured bacterium
Lineage: Bacteria
Description: partial 16S ribosomal RNA
Rfam family: Bacterial small subunit ribosomal RNA
Source: RNAcentral